Molecule: ribosomal RNA, 253 nt
Filed under: uncultured bacterium
Lineage: Bacteria
Description: partial 16S ribosomal RNA
Rfam family: Bacterial small subunit ribosomal RNA
Source: RNAcentral
UACGUAGGGGGCUAGCGUUGUCCGGAAUCAUUGGGCGUAAAGAGCGUGUAGGCGGCUCGGUAAGUCCGCUGUAAAAGUCAAAGGCUCAACCUUUGAAUGUCAGUGGAUACUGCCGGGCUAGAGUCCGGAAGAGGCGAGUGGAACUCCUGGUGUAGCGGUGGAAUGCGCAGAUAUCAGGAGGAACACCGGUGGCGAAGGCGGGAUCCUGGGCCAGUACUGACGCUGAGGAGCGAAAGCGUGGGGAGCGAACAGG